RNAcentral lists this ribosomal RNA (670 nucleotides) under Klebsiella pneumoniae. RNAcentral's name for it is "partial 23S ribosomal RNA". It matches the Rfam family "Bacterial large subunit ribosomal RNA", at positions 1183 to 1838 of the family's 2925-position model. RNAcentral also lists the same sequence under 1 other name. The record is from RNAcentral. Lineage: Bacteria; Pseudomonadati; Pseudomonadota; Gammaproteobacteria; Enterobacterales; Enterobacteriaceae.
UAAACCAUGCACCGAAGCUGCGGCAGCGACACUAUGUGUUGUUGGGUAGGGGAGCGUUCUGUAAGCCUGCGAAGGUGACCUGUGAGGGUUGCUGGAGGUAUCAGAAGUGCGAAUGCUGACAUAAGUAACGAUAAAGCGGGUGAAAAGCCCGCUCGCCGGAAGACCAAGGGUUCCUGUCCAACGUUAAUCGGGGCAGGGUGAGUCGACCCCUAAGGCGAGGCCGAAAGGCGUAGUCGAUGGGAAACAGGUUAAUAUUCCUGUACUUGGUGUUACUGCGAAGGGGGGACGGAGAAGGCUAUGUUAGCCGGGCGACGGUUGUCCCGGUUUAAGCAUGUAGGCUGGUUAUCCAGGCAAAUCCGGAUAAUCAAGGCUGAGGUGUGAUGACGAGGCACUACGGUGCUGAAGUAACAAAUGCCCUGCUUCCAGGAAAAGCCUCUAAGCAUCAGGUAACAUCAAAUCGUACCCCAAACCGACACAGGUGGUCAGGUAGAGAAUACCAAGGCGCUUGAGAGAACUCGGGUGAAGGAACUAGGCAAAAUGGUGCCGUAACUUCGGGAGAAGGCACGCUGGUGUGUAGGUGAAGCCCCUGCGGGUGGAGCUGAGACCAGUCGAAGAUACCAGCUGGCUGCAACUGUUUAUUAAAAACACAGCACUGUGCAAACACGAAAGU